UACGUAGGGGGCAAGCGUUAUCCGGAUUCACUGGGUGUAAAGGGAGCGUAGACGGCCAUGCAAGCCUGGAGUGAAAGCCCGGGGCCCAGCCCCGGGACUGCUCUGGGAACUGUGCGGCUGGAGUGCGGGAGGGGCAGGCGGAAUUCCUGGUGUAGCGGUGAAAUGCGUAGAUAUCAGGAGGAACACCGGCGGCGAAGGCGGCCUGCUGGACCGCGACUGACGUUGAGGCUCGAAAGCGUGGGGAGCAAACAGG
This 253-nucleotide ribosomal RNA is filed under the name uncultured bacterium. RNAcentral's name for it is "partial 16S ribosomal RNA". It matches the Rfam family "Bacterial small subunit ribosomal RNA", at positions 524 to 776 of the family's 1533-position model. The record is from RNAcentral.